Molecule: long non-coding RNA, 2990 nt
Filed under: Brachypodium distachyon (stiff brome)
Lineage: Eukaryota; Viridiplantae; Streptophyta; Magnoliopsida; Poales; Poaceae
Description: long non-coding RNA (BDIS_LNC002570)
Source: RNAcentral
CUCGAUGAAGAAAUGGACAAGGCACUAACAACAAAAGCGUUGUGCGUGGAUUGUAGUAUAACACAUGCCCAAGUCCAUGCUCUAGCCGGCAGCAACGGCUUUGAAAUGUCUUUGAUCAUCAUCGACGCCAAUCCAAACAGCUAAUCGAUCGGCUUCUGAAGAUGGAAAUUAAGUUCAGAGUUGUAGCAAACAAAGGUACAUCUUCUGUUGAUAUGCUUCAGAGUUUAGAUGCUUUACCUGCUUUUUUUUUGCGGGAAAUGCUUGACCUGCUUUAACUUUGAGUAAUUGUGUACUUGAUCAUCAAUUCAUCAUGUUUAUCUGCACCAAGCCAAACAACAUCUCCUGAAAAUCAAGUAUUCCUCUGAUCCUAAAUUCUUGUCUCAAGUUUGCCCAAAUAUGAAUGUAUUUAUUCUUAAAAAACGUCUAGAUACAUGUAAUAUUUCGACAACAGUUUAUGAUCGGAGAGUACAUUGCAACACUUCCGUUGGUCGGCUUCUGAAGAUUGGAAGUUCAGAGUUGGUCAAACAAAUGUACAUCUUCUGAAAAAACACUUCCGUGCUCCUUAAUUUGCUGCAUAAUUGUAAGUUCUGGAAUAUGCUUCGUGGAGCUCAAGGUUCUUCUCCGCUAGGAUUUAUUUUUGAAUUCCUUUUGGUUUUACAACCUGAAAAUGAACUUUUCAUGUGUACAUAUGUUUUGUUCUGUUUUCAUGUGCUUAUAUUAACAUGUUGUGUUUUUACUCGUAUUUUGUUUUUCUGUAGCGGCGCACGGGUUUCUAACUAGUUUCGGUAACGUAGGAGUACUUUACUUCAUGAUGUACUAAUAUAUAAGAGUGUAUAGCCCCUUAAUUAUGUACCUCCUGACAAACAACAAUGAUGUUAUACAUUCUCUCAAAGCCUUUCAUGCCAUAUAUCACCUCUUCUUCGAUCCCCAAUGGCUGUCAAGACCACGUUCUCUCUCACACUCACAUGGUAGUUGCUUGCUAGUACCAGUACCAAUACAUUUUAGCUCAUGAAAAUUUGCAGAUGCAUUUUUAGCUCAAAAUUUGCAGAUGCUUGGUCUAUUUCUAAUACUGUAUCUACAUAGGAUUUUUUGGAAAUUUUAAAAAUUUCUGGACCCACUCUUGGCUGACUAGCUAGCUUGUUUCCAUGGCCUAAAAGGGGAGUGAGGGUAGCAGCAGCGGGGGGCAGUAGCAGCACAGUGAGCGCUGCCACGCCAAUUAAAAGCAAAGGUAUAAAGGGAGCACAGUGGUUUGCAUGCAUUAGACCCCUGCACAGCCGCUGAAUAUUCCCCUGCCUCGGCCCCGCAAGCAUUAAACAACAGCCAGAGUUUGAAUGGUGGUGGAGGACAUGCAUCUGAGCGCCACUGCGCUGUGCAACCAGCCAGCCACACCCGCAUUUCUGUUGCCACUGUAGGAGUAACAAAGACCAACAACACACGGCCCAGAAUGCAUGCACAAGCAAGAGGGCAUACUAGGCACUGGCCGAUGCAUGCAGCACCAAGUCCAAGUGUGACCAAUCAGACCAGGCCCGGCCACUGCAUGCAUAUGGUGAGAGAGCCGAGGCAGCACAUGUAAAAUUGUAAGAAAUGCAUGCACCCACUUGCAGCCAGCAGAGAUGUCAUAGAUCGAUGCAAUCCCCUCAUCUCAUGCAUCUUGUUUGUUUGGUCCUCAGGCCGUGGUGGUGGUGGUACCACCACACAUAAAUCCUCCUCUCCUAUCUUCUUCCUGCUGUGCUGGCUUACGAGAAGAAUGUCUCUAAUAAUGCUAGUAAUUGAUGGGUAUGCAAACAGAAGCUUUAACCACGCCUGUGCAGUGUGCACACCUGAGCCUACAUUUGGAUUUGGGAUGUGUGUAUAUUGGGCGUGCUUGUGGGGGAAGAGAAUUUGGCAGAUACGAAAGAGUAAUAUGAAAGAAGAGCCUGCCGUUAGGAGCAAGUUCAGUUACCUGAACGAUGUGCAUUGCAAAACUUUGGGUACUGUAUUUUUCAGUCCAAACACUGGUUGCAGACUUGCAGUGGACACAACGGCGCACAAAAGGUGGUCUAUUUGUUAUACAUAAUGAUGAAAAGAUGGUCUAGUUAGUGACUGGAUUAAAACAGAGAGACAAUGCAUUUUUGACGGGGAAAACAGAGAGACAAUGUAAAACAGAGUACGCUUUUAUAUAUAUUCCCAUCGAGUAGCAGGGAAAGCAAUAUAAUACCGAGGAUAGAGACAGGCAGACAACAUGGAAGCAUAAACAGAAACAGUACAUGCAUUACAAAGUGUAACCGAUGCAUUCCAGGCUCAAGACUUUCUCCAACCCCUGAUACUGUUUUGCUGAACAAGACCUUGCUUUAAGGUGCCUAACAUCACAUAACAAGUGAUCCACGCCAAGAAUGCGUCACUUACAGCUCCCAAUACACACAAAAAAAGAGAGGAAGAAGAAACAGAAACGCAAUAAGAAAGGAUAAUGUAGGAGAUAUGAUUAACUAAGAUACCUAGAGAGAGAGAGAUAUGUAUAUAUCUCGGACCAUUACGCCUCAAUUCCCCACUGCACGCUCGCGCCGUAGGCCUCAUCCAUUGCUCCACGGUUGGUAGAGCAGAGGAGACCGUGGUGGGAGCUCCAUGCGAGCCGCUAGCUCGCCGACUUCCUCCUAUCUGCGAGGUGUGUUUCCGGUGGACUCCUCAGCUCUUGGGUCUCCAAAUGCUGGCCAGGUAGCAGCAGCCAGUGCUGUAGAAGCACCAAUGAGCUCCAUUGUUGGGGUAUGAGGAAGAACAAGAAGAUGGGCCAUUUGUUUUUGAGAGGAGAUUGCAAGCUUAGUUGAGGGUGGCAAGAAGACAGUAGAGAAAAGGGUGCUGCUGUUUAUAUAUACUCACACCGCCACACGGAGAGAGAGAGAGUGAGAGAAAGAGAGAGAGAGUGAGUGAGUGAGAGUUCAUUGUAGUAUUGUACCAUGGCACAGUACAUGCUAUGCCCAUUAUGGUUUUGUCUUGGUCCAUAUGCAAUGUCACAG